Molecule: ribosomal RNA, 301 nt
Filed under: uncultured bacterium
Lineage: Bacteria
Description: partial 16S ribosomal RNA
Rfam family: Bacterial small subunit ribosomal RNA
Source: RNAcentral
CAGCAGCCGCGGGAAUACGGAGGGUGCGAGCGUUAAUCGGAAUUACUGGGCGUAAAGAGUGCGUAGGUGGUUAAUUAAGUUAUCUGUGAAAUUCCUGGGCUUAACCUGGGCAGGUCAGAUAAUACUGGUUAACUCGAGUAUGGGAGAGGGUAGUGGAAUUUCCGGUGUAGCGGUGAAAUGCGUAGAGAUCGGAAGGAACACCAGUGGCGAAGGCGGCUACCUGGCCUAAUACUGACAUUGAGGCACGAAAGCGUGGGGAGCAAACAGGAUUAGAUACCCCGGUAGUCCCUGUCUCUUAUAC